This 652-nucleotide ribosomal RNA is filed under the name uncultured Pseudomonas sp. RNAcentral describes it as "bacterial SSU rRNA". It matches the Rfam family "Bacterial small subunit ribosomal RNA", at positions 8 to 649 of the family's 1533-position model. Lineage: Bacteria; Pseudomonadati; Pseudomonadota; Gammaproteobacteria; Pseudomonadales; Pseudomonadaceae. The record is from RNAcentral.
AGAGUUUGAUCCUGGCUCAGAGUGAACGCUGGCGGUAGGCCUAACACAUGCAAGUCGAACGGCAGCACAGGAGAGCUUGCUCUCUGGGUGGCGAGUGGCGGACGGGUGAGGAAUACAUCGGAAUCUACCUUUUCGUGGGGGAUAACGCUCGGAAACGGACGCUAAUACCGCAUACGUCCUACGGGAGAAAGCAGGGGACCUUCGGGCCUUGCGCUAUCAGAUGAGCCUAGGUCGGAUUAGCUAGUUGGUGAGGUAAUGGCUCACCAAGGCGACGAUCCGUAACUGGUCUGAGAGGAUGAUCAGUCACACUGGAACUGAGACACGGUCCAGACUCCUACGGGAGGCAGCAGUGGGGAAUAUUGGACAAUGGGCGAAAGCCUGAUCCAGCCAUGCCGCGUGUGUGAAGAAGGUCUUCGGAUUGUAAAGCACUUUAAGUUGGGAGGAAGGGCAUUAACCUAAUACGUUAGUGUUUUGACGUUACCGACAGAAUAAGCACCGGCUAACUCUGUGCCAGCAGCCGCGGUAAUACAGAGGGUGCAAGCGUUAAUCGGAAUUACUGGGCGUAAAGCGCGCGUAGGUGGUUAGUUAAGUUGGAUGUGAAAUCCCCGGGCUCAACCUGUGGACUGCAUUCAAAACUGACUGACUAGAGUAU